Eleginops maclovinus (Patagonian blennie) is the source of this 842-nucleotide long non-coding RNA. RefSeq lists it as uncharacterized. Lineage: Eukaryota; Metazoa; Chordata; Actinopteri; Perciformes; Eleginopidae. The transcript has 2 exons. The record is from RefSeq and is a predicted model, not a curated record.
CAAUAUCCCAGACCUGUUCCUGCCUGUCGAGCUGCCACAACCACACAGCUUUAAAAGCACCGAGAGACGAACUGAACAUUCUCCGAACACAAGAGGAUAUUAUGAAAAUGACUGGCCACGAUCUCGCAGCCACCAUCGAUACCUGCGCACACGUGCUGCGUCAGGUGGGAGACAGCUUCUACUGGAGGUACAAACUGCUCGAGAUACUGCUCAACAACUACCAGACCGUCACCAAAAUCAAGUGAGACGAGACGUAAGGAAUGUACCUGGAAGCGGAAUUGGAUUUUUUACUAAAGUGGAGGGCAUUCAAAGCCAAAGCAGCACAAGAGACUCUGAGACAGACUGUGAUAUCCUCUCUGGAGGUGGAAAAGGAAGCAAACCUCUGGGGAAAAGUACCCUGAUGUUCAGAGACCCUGGAUGUGGACUGUGGUCGCAUUCAAGUCUGGAGAUCCGCAGAGAAAAGCCACAUUUUCGGGAUGUAAACCCACGAUGCAUGCAGAGAAGGUGCAACAUCUGGAUGGGAGUUACCUGCUACGAAACGCUGAUUAUAACAUACCAUACAUACUCCUGUAUAUACGGACAUGUAUUCAUGGAGCCUAACCUUUAGGUGAACUGAAGGACUCAGUUUCAUAUCUACUCAAUGUUCCUUUUUUCUGGUGAGAAGUUCUUCUUGCUAAUUAAAGAUGCAUUAAUUAAGGGAGCCUUGUUCUAUAGUUGUUGUUUUACCACCUGAAGUCCUGCAGAUGAACCUGAGCUAAAUCUGCAGAAAUACAUCUUCUGUUUGUGAGAUGGAUGCAUUUUAUUGUAUGUUCCUUGUUCAAUAAAUACAUAAUAAUACCAAA